CCUACGGGAGGCAGCAGUGGGGAAUAUUGGACAAUGGGCGAAAGCCUGAUCCAGCCAUGCCGCGUGUGUGAAGAAGGCCUUCGGGUUGUAAAGCACUUUCAGUGGGGAAGAAAGCCUUGGGGCUAAUACCCUCGAGGAAGGACAUCACCCACAGAAGAAGCACCGGCUAACUCCGUGCCAGCAGCCGCGGUAAUACGGAGGGUGCGAGCGUUAAUCGGAAUUACUGGGCGUAAAGCGCGCGUAGGCGGUCUGAUAAGCCGGUUGUGAAAGCCCCGGGCUCAACCUGGGAACGGCAUCCGGAACUGGCAAGCUUGGGGUCAGGGGGGGGAGGUUGAAAUCCCGGUGUAGGGGUGAAAUUGCUAAGGAUCGGGAAGGAAACCCGGUGGCGAGGCCGGCCUCUGGACUUGACCCGGCGGUGGAGGGCGGAAGGGGGGGGAGGAAACAGGGUUAGGUACCCUUGUAGUC
RNAcentral lists this ribosomal RNA (465 nucleotides) under Vreelandella stevensii. RNAcentral's name for it is "partial 16S ribosomal RNA". It matches the Rfam family "Bacterial small subunit ribosomal RNA", at positions 338 to 795 of the family's 1533-position model. The record is from RNAcentral. Lineage: Bacteria; Pseudomonadati; Pseudomonadota; Gammaproteobacteria; Oceanospirillales; Halomonadaceae.